GACGAGAAGCUCAGAGGUCUCUCCUGUGAAAUGCUAAACACACCGAUUCUGCCUUUCAAUAAUAACUUGGGAUCUUCAGGAAUCAGUUUGGAUUGGGAAAGAUUGGGCCACAAGCUGCAGUUAUUUGAAGCACACAACAUAUCCAAGUCCAGGUGUGAGGAGCCAG
Molecule: long non-coding RNA, 166 nt
Organism: Eleginops maclovinus (Patagonian blennie)
Lineage: Eukaryota; Metazoa; Chordata; Actinopteri; Perciformes; Eleginopidae
Exons: 3
Source: RefSeq, a predicted model, not a curated record